Molecule: ribosomal RNA, 500 nt
Filed under: uncultured bacterium
Lineage: Bacteria
Description: partial 16S ribosomal RNA
Rfam family: Bacterial small subunit ribosomal RNA
Source: RNAcentral
AUUGAACGCUGGCGGCAUGCCUUACACAUGCAAGUCGAACGGCAGCACGGGAGCAAUCCUGUUGGCGAGUGGCGAACGGGUGAGUAAUGUAUCGGGACGUGCCCAGUGGUGGGGGAUAACGUAGCGAAAGCUACGCUAAUACCGCAUACGGUCUGUGGAUGAAAGCGGGGGACCGUAAGGCCUCGCGCGAUAGGAGCGGCUGAUAUCAGAUUAGGUAGUUGGUGGGGUAAAGGCCUACCAAGCCGACGAUCUGUAGCUGGUCUGAGAGGACGACCAGCCACACUGGGACUGAGACACGGCCCAGACUCCUACGGGAGGCAGCAGUGGGGAAUUUUGGACAAUGGGCGCAAGCCUGAUCCAGCAAUGCCGCGUGCAGGAUGAAGGCCUUCGGGUUGUAAACUGCUUUUGUACGGAGCGAAAAGGCUCUCUCUAAUACAGGGGGCUCAUGACGGUACCGUAAGAAUAAGCACCGGCUAACUACGUGCCAGCCGCCGCAGUAA